GUGAACGCUGGCGGUAGGCCUAACACAUGCAAGUCGCACGGCAGCACAGUAAGAGCUUGCUCUUACGGGUGGCGAGUGGCGGACGGGUGAGGAAUACAUCGGAAUCUACUUUUUCGUGGGGGAUAACGUAGGGAAACUUACGCUAAUACCGCAUACGACCUACGGGUGAAAGCAGGGGAUCUUCGGACCUUGCGGGAUUGAAUGAGCCGAUGUCGGAUUAGCUAGUUGGCGGGGUAAAGGCCCACCAAGGCGACGAUCCGUAGCUGGUCUGAGGGGAUGAUCAGCCACACUGGAACUGAGACACGGUCCAGACUCCUACGGGAGGCAGCAGUGGGGAAUAUUGGACAAUGGGCGCAAGCCUGAUCCAGCCAUACCGCGUGGGUGAAGAAGGCCUUCGGGUUGUAAAGCCCUUUUGUUGGGAAAGAAAAGCAGCAGGUUAAUACCCCGCUGUUCUGACGGUACCCAAAGAAUAAGCACCGGCUAACUUCGUG
This 491-nucleotide ribosomal RNA is filed under the name uncultured bacterium. RNAcentral describes it as "partial 16S ribosomal RNA". It matches the Rfam family "Bacterial small subunit ribosomal RNA", at positions 29 to 507 of the family's 1533-position model. The record is from RNAcentral.